Molecule: transfer RNA, 71 nt
Filed under: Loxodonta africana (African savanna elephant)
Lineage: Eukaryota; Metazoa; Chordata; Mammalia; Proboscidea; Elephantidae
Rfam family: tRNA
About the family: Transfer RNA (tRNA) molecules are approximately 80 nucleotides in length. Their secondary structure includes four short double-helical elements and three loops (D, anti-codon, and T loops). Further hydrogen bonds mediate the characteristic L-shaped molecular structure. tRNAs have two regions of fundamental functional importance: the anti-codon, which is responsible for specific mRNA codon recognition, and the 3' end, to which the tRNAs corresponding amino acid is attached (by aminoacyl-tRNA synthetases). tRNAs cope with the degeneracy of the genetic code in two manners: having more than one tRNA (with a specific anti-codon) for a particular amino acid; and 'wobble' base-pairing, i.e. permitting non-standard base-pairing at the 3rd anti-codon position.
Source: Rfam by way of RNAcentral
GCAGUGGUAGUUCAGUGGUAGAAUUCUUGCUUUUCAUGCAGAAAACUCUGGUUUGAUUCCCUGCCAGCGCA